CUUAGUAACUGCGAGUGAAGCGGCAAAAGCUCAAAUUUGAAAUCUGGCGUCUUUGACGUCCGAGUUGUAAUUUGGAGGGGCAUCUUCGGAAUUGGCGCCGUCCUAAGUUCCUUGGAACAGGACGUCAUAGAGGGUGAGAAUCCCGUGCCUGGAUGGCUGUCCAAUUCCAUGUGAAGUGUCUCCGACGAGUCGAGUUGUUUGGGAAUGCAGCUCAAAAUGGGUGGUAAAUUUCAUCUAAAGCUAAAUAUUGGCGAGAGACCGAUAGCGCACAAGUAGAGUGAUCGAAAGAUGAAAAGCACUUUGAAAAGAGAGUUAAAAAGUACGUGAAAUUGUUGAAAGGGAAGCGCUUGAGACCAGACUCAAUCUUAGGUGAUCAGCUGUGCUUCUGUACGGUGCACUUGCCUUUGAUUGGGCCAGCAUCAGUUCUGACGGUGGGAUAAAAUGCGAAGGAAUGUGGCUCUCUUCGGGGAGUGUUAUAGCCUUUGUAACAAUGCCACCAGUUGGGACUGAGGACCGCGCUUCGGCUAGGAUGCUGGCGUAAUGGUCUUAAGCGACCCGUCUUGAAACACGGACCAAGGAGUCUAACAUCUAUGCGAGUGUUCGGGUGGAAAACCCUUGCGCGUAAUGAAAGUGAACGGAGGUGUGAACCCCUCGGGGUGCAACAUCGACCGAUCCUGAUGUUUUCGGAAGGAUUUGAGUAAGAGCAUAGCUGUUGGGACCCGAAAGAUGGUGAACUAUGCCUGAAUAGGGUGAAGCCAGAGGAAACUCUGGUGGAGGCUCGCAGCGGUUCUGACGUGCAAAUCGAUCGUCAAAUUUGGGUAUAGGGGCGAAAGACUAAUCGAACCAUCUAGUAGCUGGU
This 859-nucleotide ribosomal RNA is filed under the name Byssonectria carestiae. RNAcentral's name for it is "LSU rRNA". It matches the Rfam family "Eukaryotic large subunit ribosomal RNA", at positions 79 to 955 of the family's 3401-position model. Lineage: Eukaryota; Fungi; Ascomycota; Pezizomycetes; Pezizales; Pyronemataceae. The record is from RNAcentral.